Molecule: ribosomal RNA, 1830 nt
Filed under: human oral metagenome
Description: bacterial LSU rRNA
Rfam family: Bacterial large subunit ribosomal RNA
Source: RNAcentral
ACCCGUAGUCAAGAGGGAAACAGCCCAGACCAACAGCUAAGGUCCCGAAUGCCGUACUAAGUGGCAAAGGAGGUGGCGUUUCGAAAACAACCAGGAUGUUGGCUCAGAAGCAGCCAUCAUUAAAAGAGUGCGUAAUAGCUCACUGGUCGAGAGACGCGGCGCCGAAGAUGACCGGGGCUGAAGUACGGAACCGAAGCUUUGGCAUGUAUGGAGACAUACAUGGGUAGGGGAGCGUUCCUGUAUGGGAGAAGCCUGACCGGAAGGACAGGUGGACAGGCAGGAAGCGAGAAUGCCGGUAUGAGUAGCGAAAAGAAAGGUGGGAAUCCUUUCCACCGAAAGCCUAAGGGUUCCUGGGCAACGAUCGUCGACCCAGGGUAAGUCGGGGCCUAAUCCGAGGCGCAGACGCAUAGGAGAUGGACAACAGGUUGAAAUUCCUGUACCGACACCGUCCGAUAGAGCGAGGGAGUGACACAAGAAGGAACGUUCGCAUGCGAAUGGAAGAGCAUGUCCAAGCCGGUAGGUGGCGUAUCAGGCAAAUCCGGUACGCCGAAAGCCGAGAGGUGAUGGGGAGGCUGUAGGGAUACAGAGGAAGGAACGGGGACUCAAUUGUCAAGAAAAGCUUCUAGCGAGGACGGUGGCGCCCGUACCGAAACCGACACAGGUAGGCAGGACGAGAAUUCUAAGGUGCGCGGGAAACCCCUCGUUAAGGAACUCGGCAAAAUGUAUCCGUAACUUCGGGAAAAGGAUAACCCAGAGUAGGUGAAGGAUAGAAACGUCCGGAGCCGAAAUGGGUGGCACAAGAGAGGCCCAAGCGACUGUUUAGCACAAACACAGGCGUCUGCGAAAGAGAAAUCUGAAGUAUAGAUGCUGACACCUGCCCGGUGCUGGAAGGUUAAGAGGACGUGUGAGCCGCAAGGCGAAGCAGAGAAUUGAAGCCCCAGUAAACGGCGGCCGUAACUAUAACGGUCCUAAGGUAGCGAAAUUCCUUGUCGGGUAAGUUCCGACCCGCACGAAAGGUGUAACGAUUUGGGCACUGUCUCAACGAGGGACCCGGUGAAAUUGAAGUACCUGUGAAGAUGCAGGUUACCCGCGACUGGACAGAAAGACCCCAUGGAGCUUUACUGCAACCUGAGAUGGGAUUUGGGUAUAAGACGUACAGGAUAGUUGGGAGGCGUGGAAGUGAGGACGGCAGUUUUCACGGAGCCGGCGGUGGGAUACCAACCUUGUUGUACUGAAAUCCUAACGAGAGCCGUAACGAGGCUUCGGACAGUCUCAGGCGGGCAGUUUGACUGGGGCGGUCGCCUCCGAAAGAGCAACGGAGGCGCCCAAAGGUUCCCUCAGCGCGGACGGAAACCGCGCGCAGAGUGUAAAGGCAGAAGGGAGCUUGACUGCGAGACGGACAGGUCGAGCAGGGACGAAAGUCGGGCUUAGUGAUCCGGUGGAAGAGAGUGGAAUUGCCAUCGCACAACGGAUAAAAGCUACCCUGGGGAUAACAGGCUUAUCUCUCCCAAGAGUCCAUAUCGACGGGGAGGUUUGGCACCUCGAUGUCGGCUCAUCACAUCCUGGGGCUGAAGUAGGUCCCAAGGGUUGGGCUGUUCGCCCAUUAAAGUGGUACGCGAGCUGGGUUCAGAACGUCGUGAGACAGUUCGGUCCCUAUCCAUCGCGGGCGGAAGAAACUUGAAAGGGGCUGCUCCCAGUACGAGAGGACCGGAGUGGACGAACCGCUGGUGUAUCGGUUAUGCCGCCAGGCGUACAGCCGAGUAGCUACGUUCGGGACGGAUAAACGCUGAAAGCAUCUAAGCGUGAACCCGGCCUAAAGAUGAGGUUUCU